UACGAAGGUCCCGAGCGUUGUUCGGAAUCACUGGGCGUAAAGGGAGCGUAGGCGGUUGGGUAAGUCAGAUGUGAAAUCCCGGGGCUCAACCUCGGAACUGCAUCCGAUACUGCCUGGCUUGAGUGAUGGAGAGGUGGCUGGAAUUCUCGGUGUAGCAGUGAAAUGCGUGGAUAUCGAGAGGAACACCCGCGGCGAAAGCGGGCCACUGGACAUUGACUGACGCUGAGGCUAGAAGGCCAGGGGAGCGAAAGGG
RNAcentral lists this ribosomal RNA (253 nucleotides) under uncultured bacterium. RNAcentral describes it as "partial 16S ribosomal RNA". It matches the Rfam family "Bacterial small subunit ribosomal RNA", at positions 524 to 776 of the family's 1533-position model. The record is from RNAcentral.